GAGUUUGAUCGUGGCUCAGGACGAACGCUGGCGGCGUGCCUAAUACAUGCAAGUAGAACGCUGACUACUUUAGCUUGCUAGAGUAGAAGGAGUUGCGAACGGGUGAGUAACGCGUAGGUAACCUGCCUACUAGCGGGGGAUAACUAUUGGAAACGAUAGCUAAUACCGCAUAACAGUGUUUAACACAUGUUAGAUGCUUGAAAGAUGCAAUUGCAUCACUAGUAGAUGGACCUGCGUUGUAUUAGCUAGUUGGUGGGGUAACGGCCCACCAAGGCGACGAUACAUAGCCGACCUGAGAGGGUGAUCGGCCACACUGGGACUGAGACACGGCCCAGACUCCUACGGGAGGCAGCAGUAGGGAAUCUUCGGCAAUGGGGGCAACCCUGACCGAGCAACGCCGCGUGAGUGAAG
This 411-nucleotide ribosomal RNA is filed under the name uncultured bacterium. RNAcentral's name for it is "bacterial SSU rRNA". It matches the Rfam family "Bacterial small subunit ribosomal RNA", at positions 9 to 410 of the family's 1533-position model. The record is from RNAcentral.